Long non-coding RNA from Limulus polyphemus (Atlantic horseshoe crab), 274 nucleotides. RefSeq lists it as uncharacterized. The transcript has 2 exons. The record is from RefSeq and is a predicted model, not a curated record. Lineage: Eukaryota; Metazoa; Arthropoda; Merostomata; Xiphosura; Limulidae.
AGGGAUAGUAACGAAAGUAAAAAUGGGAAAAAUAUAUUUAAUACGUUUAAUGUAUUUCCCAAUUAGUCUGUAAAAUACUGUUAUUUUUACAGAAACAAAUAAAUCCACUAGAAAAUUUCCUUAGAGCGACAUCUGUUACCAAUAUGAGGUCUUAUGUUAUUUGUAAGGGUCAAUGUAAGGCCUGUGUAUAAUCCUGAGGUACCGAAUUGAGCAAAGUGCAAUACUGUAAUGUCUGAAGAAAACUCAGAAGAUGAGUGUUCACAAUCAAGUGUAU